GAAGAAGAAGAACAAGAAGAAGAACUUCACUACGACAACUCCGACGACGACCAAAAAGAUGACGUUCCACAGAAUCGUUACAAACCUUUUUUUAACCCUAAUCCUUCUUCAUCUUCAUUGCUCCCUUCCGCUCUUGAUGCCUUCUCCGAAAUUUCAGGGCCGCCGGAGUUUUUGAACAACAGUGUUGAAGAAGCGGGAAAGGACGUUAAUGAACAGAGACACGGUCGCCGUAAGUACAGCAGAAACAAGAAUGAUUUACCAGCUGGUGCUGUAGUGGAGUCAAAGGCUCAAUUAGUAGGACUUCAUGAGAGGGUGAGAAGCGAUGUCGGUGGGGGCAUCCCAAAAGCAGCCACUGGUCAAGGAAAUGCUUUUGUUGGCACUGUACAAGGAGGCAAAUCUGUGGCAACUGCGAGCUAUCCUGGUGCAGAAGAUGCAGCAGAGCUUCUGAGGAUGUGCUUGAGAUGUGGAAUUCCCAAAACAUACACACACACAAAAGGGAUGGUGUGCCCAGCGUGCAGUGAUCACCCUGUAAACUCUGACGAAGAGCCAGUCAAGAAAAAGGGGUCUACCGUCAAAGACAAGGAGAAGAAUAAGAGGAUGAAGGGGCAGUCAUCCCAUGCAACAUGGAAAAGUGAGACGGAAAUGCAUCUCCGCCAACAAUUUGAUUAGUCAAGUCUAAAACAAGUUGGUCCAAAAUAUAGUUAGGUCCUCCAGUAACAUAAUCGAUCAACUAUGUACUUAUAGCAGCUCUACUCAGCUGAAGUGAUACUCGGAAUUAUGAGGUAAUCUUGCAGCUAUCUGUUUAAAGUGCAUAACCUGUGUGAUGUAGAUUCUGGUCUGGCUUUAAAGCUAAGGUGCCACCACUUUGUUUGUUUUUCUCAAGUUGUUGCAGCAUAAAUUUAGUUUUUGAUACUUCUUGUUUGGAAGAAGCCGUGUAGUAAACAUGUAUCAUGCUCUUUCAUCAUUGUCAACUUGGGACUUGAUUAUACAUUAUGUAGG
This 999-nucleotide unclassified non-coding RNA is filed under the name Hevea brasiliensis (rubber tree). Lineage: Eukaryota; Viridiplantae; Streptophyta; Magnoliopsida; Malpighiales; Euphorbiaceae. The record is from RNAcentral.